CAUUCUUUCCAGUAUGAAACUUAAUUCAUCCGUAGAGCAGGAAGCAGUUCACGCUCCGCCAAAGGAAACGGAAUUCUAUUAGUUGUGUCUCGACACUGGGUUUUACUUCCUAACCAGUAAUUGUUCCCAUAGAAAAAUCCAGAAUCUGGCGCGCCGCUUGAAUCCAGCACUGCAACAGUCGGUUUCUAGCACUGUCGGAUUUAGAACAACACAUGCGCAUACAACCUAAAACAAAAUGUUGUAGGGAUAAUUGGGCAAGAUCAUGAAGACUAGAGCAGUCUUCAUGGGUAACAUGGUCAGCACGUAUAAAAUGAACAAAUGGUAUUGGAAUGUGACAGUGACUGAUUUUACCCUCUCUGACCAUCUUAACCCAAGUUUUCCUGUGUGUGUGUCCAAAUGGCUGGGUGAACUGCAUAACCAAUGGAGUGGAAAUUAACAGGAAAAAUACGUAAAUGGAAAAGUAACAUUUACAACUGUUGAGGAAUUCUAAUUGAAAAGUUUUGCAUUGGCGUCUGUAAAAUUUGUUUAAUACCAUCAUGAUAAUACGAUCACAUGAUUGCAACGGUUCUGCCUCAAGGCAAAUCUGUUUGCCCUUUCUUAAGAGUCAAAUCUUGGAAAAAAUUUCCGAUACGUCAGAGCAAGCUUAAUUAAUUACCCGAAAUAUACUGCAAAUAAUUUUUAUUCAUGUAUGCAACUGAUGACUUUUGUCAAUGACGCAUUUUUAUCAGUUUUUU
Molecule: long non-coding RNA, 734 nt
Organism: Cephus cinctus (wheat stem sawfly)
Lineage: Eukaryota; Metazoa; Arthropoda; Insecta; Hymenoptera; Cephidae
Exons: 3
Source: RefSeq, a predicted model, not a curated record